GAAUGUCAUGAUCUUAUUUUUGCAUAUGCAUAGUUUGAUGAGAAAGGUAAGAUAAAAAUUUGUCAAAAAAAUCUAAACCACUAUUAUAUUCUGUAUGUACUUAACUUUCUUUGCUUUCUGUUUCCAGAGAAACAUUUGAUAGAAUAGAACACCUAUAGAAGAAAUGAUAAAAGAUACUUUUUAAUGAGGACUGCAAAUUUGUGAUUUAUUUUUCCUCUUGUGACCUUAACUUUGACAUUUAGGUUUUAGGAGAAGUUUCAGUACGACUUCUGCUUCUUCCCAAAAAGAGAUUAACAGAAGAAAUGCAUUUGCCAACCCGAGACCUGCCCUGCGCCGCGGCCGGGGCCGCACCACCUCCGCUGGGAGCGGGGAAGGGAGCGUGAAGCUGCACGAGGGGUCCCAGGUCCUCCUCACCAGCUCCAAUGAGAUGGGGACCGUUAGGUAUGUGGGCCCCACGGACUUUGCCUCUGGAAUCUGGCUUGGACUUGAGCUUCGAGGUGCCAAGGGGAAGAACGACGGAGCCGUGGGGGACACGCGCUACUUUACCUGUAAGCCAAACCACGGAGUCUUAGUCAGGCCCAGCAGAGUAACCUAUCGGGGAAUAAAUGGGUCAAAGCUUGUGGAUGAGAAUCGUUGAGGUAAACUUCUAACAUAUUCAGUGAGCUCACAUACAGGCAUAAAGAGGCCAUGGCCAGUGGUUUAUUUAGCCAUUAUUUUAGGUUUGAAAAUAGAGCUGUCUUCCUUAAGAAAAACCAUUAUAACAAUUCAGAGAGACUCCUUUAGAAAGCUAGAAAUCUGAACCAUGGCAACCAUGGUUCUCUUAAAACAAGUUCAAAAUAAGCAUUUUUAAGAGCUUUUAAAGCUUUAGAGCCAAGGAAAUUCUGAGACUUAGGGAAAAAAAAUGUGCCAUUAGGUAACCAACUGACGUUGCUUACUCGGUUUCAUUUUUGCACAUAAUACUGGAUUUUUCGUAGGCUGUCAUCCGUGAGAGUUUUCACCGGCUUUGGUUAACAUAUGACCUUCACAUACUUUUUUCUGUCAAGUAUUUUUGGAGUUUUUCUUUCUGUACUAAUAAGAAGAGCAGCUUAUGAUUAGUGUAUUUUUCAUGUUUUUUUUGGAAAUGAUUUGCCCUUUCAGGAAUGCCUCAUCUAGAGAUACAUUAAAACUCUAGAGUCAAAUGGGCCUUCGAGGCUCUUCUGCUGAGCCUCUCAGCUAUUGCCAGAUAGAGAAAUGGAAGUUCUAGAGCAGUUCUUUUACCUGGAGUCUCUAACUAGCUGAUUAACAGAGCUCAGAAUAGAAUGGGGGUCUCCUGACCUGUGGCUCAUGCUCUUUCCUCUAUACAAAGUAUGUAAUCACAGAUUUUUCUUCUGUGUUGGCAAUUGCCUCAUCUGAAUGAACUACAAAACCCCACCAUUAGGUUUAUGAAUUCAAGUCAUAAUUGGAAUUUUUUGCACAGACUUGUCUAAUUCCUUAUUGGACAUACCUAUAAAACACACACACGAAGCACUUUUAAAACAAUGCACUUUCAUCUUUGUGGAGAAUUUGCCAUUAUUUCUUCCUGGGAUAUGAAAAACAUUUAGAAAAAUUAUAUUUAAGAGAAGAGAGUAAAUUAAGAUGUGUUAGGAAAAAUAUAAUAGUUACUUAAAUGUUUAUGAUUUCUCGAUGUUUUUGGUCCUAUUCAUAAAACUGGUGUUGUGUUUGCUACCUUUGCUGUUUUUAUGUUUUCAGUUGUUGCAAAAUUCAGCCUGUUACAAAGCUACAGAAUUGUAUCAUGUUUUUGUAUUUCUUUUUGAGCACAUGUUAACAAACUGGGCUUCAAAAUAGAGUGAUAUAAUGUAAAACGUUUGUGUUGUGGAUAUGUAUUGACAUUUAUGUCCUAUAUGUGUAAAGAUUUAUCUUUUAUUGUAGAUAUGUAGCCUUUAAACUACAUAGAAAUAUUGAAACAGUUUAUAAGAUUAAAAGUAUCCUUUAGAAUGGAGCUCGCUUUGUGCUUAGAAAUAAUAUGUUGAACUAUUUUGCAAUAUACUAUUUAAAAUCUAAAUUCUGUUGCUUUGCUGCCUUUUUAAAAAGAAGUGUGGUAUUUCAAAUAUUGCCAGAGCUAUUUUCCUGAUAUACAUUUGCAAAAUAUGGCUUUAUAAUCAAGGAAUAUUUUUAUUGAUUGAAGAAAAUGCCUGUAUUGCAAUUCAAAAGUAAACUUAUUUUAUUAUACAGCUUAUUUCUUUAAAACUCUAUUUAUACCUUAAUAUGGAAUUCAUGAUUACUUUGAACUUGGGUGUCCAUAAUUCUGUUAAAUAUGAAACACUGUAAGAAACAGUAAUGCCAACUCUAAGGUCAGGGAAACAAUUGUUCUCAUGUUUAGAUUAGGAUCAUUAAAUCCAUAUAAUGUAUAUGUUUACAUAUACUAUACAUACAAAUGAGGUGUUUUCAUUUGUGUUUUGCUUACUAAAUGUCAUUCACAGUUCAAUUCUUGAGCAUUAAUAAAAAAGGGAAGCUGUUUUGGUCUUGGAA
Leptonychotes weddellii (Weddell seal) is the source of this 2508-nucleotide non-coding RNA. NCBI's taxonomy places the organism in Eukaryota, Metazoa, Chordata, Mammalia, Carnivora, Phocidae. The record is from RefSeq and is a predicted model, not a curated record.